CCUACGGGAGGCAGCAGUGGGGGAUAUUGCACAAUGGGGGGAACCCUGAUGCAGCGACGCCGCGUGGGUGAAGGAGUGCUUCUGCAUGUAAAGCCCUAUCGGCAGGGAAGAAGCAAGACGGUACCUGACUAAGAAGCCCCGGCUAACUACGUGCCAGCAGCCGCGGUAAUACGUAGGGGGCGAGCGUUAUCCGGAUUCACUGGGUGUAAAGGGAGAGUAGACGGCCAUGAAAGUCAGGGGGGAAAGCCCGGGGCCCAACCCCGGGACUGCCCGUGGUACUGCAUGGCUAGAGGAAGGGAGGGGCAGGCGGAAUGCAUGGUGUAGCGGUGAAAUGCGUAGAGAGCAGGAGGAACACCGGCGGCGAAGGCGGCCUGCUGGACUGCGACUGACGUUGAGGCUCGAAAGCGUGGGGAGCGAACAGGAUUAGAUACCCUUGUAGUC
This 441-nucleotide ribosomal RNA is filed under the name uncultured bacterium. Its description in RNAcentral is "partial 16S ribosomal RNA". It matches the Rfam family "Bacterial small subunit ribosomal RNA", at positions 338 to 795 of the family's 1533-position model. The record is from RNAcentral.